ACGGAAGGCAGCAGUGGGGAAUAUUGGACAAUGGGGGAAACCCUGAUCCAGCGACGCCGCGUGAGUGAAGAAGUAUUUCGGUAUGUAAAGCUCUAUCAGCAGGGAAGAUAAUGACGGUACCUGACUAAGAAGCCCCGGCUAACUACGUGCCAGCAGCCGCGGUAAUACGUAGGGGGCAAGCGUUAUCCGGAUUUACUGGGUGUAAAGGGAGCGUAGACGGCAUGGCAAGUCUGAUGUGAAAACCCGGGGCUCAACCCCGGGACUGCAUUGGAAACUGUCAAGCUAGAGUGCAGGAGAGGUAAGUGGAAUUCCUAGUGUAGCGGUGAAAUGCGUAGAUAUUAGGAGGAACACCAGUGGCGAAGGCGGUUAGCUGGACAAUAACUGACGCUGAGGCGCGAAAGCGUGGGUAGCAAACAGGAUUAGAUACCCUGGUA
Molecule: ribosomal RNA, 434 nt
Filed under: uncultured Lachnospiraceae bacterium
Lineage: Bacteria; Bacillati; Bacillota; Clostridia; Lachnospirales; Lachnospiraceae
Description: bacterial SSU rRNA
Rfam family: Bacterial small subunit ribosomal RNA
Source: RNAcentral